Molecule: long non-coding RNA, 220 nt
Organism: Poeciliopsis prolifica (blackstripe livebearer)
Lineage: Eukaryota; Metazoa; Chordata; Actinopteri; Cyprinodontiformes; Poeciliidae
Exons: 3
Source: RefSeq, a predicted model, not a curated record
CUCGUCGUCCCACCGCUGUCCGGCAGGACACAGCUUCCCCUCGCCUUGGCCUUCGCACUGGCACUCACCUGACCGCAAUGGCGACUGACCUAAUUCAUCAGAGGUCCAGCAAACUGGUGCUUGCGGUCUCACAUUUAGUGAUCAGUAUUCUGGUCCAGUUUCCAGCCUGGAUAGCAGCUGGCUUCUGUCAGUCCGUUCUGACAGACGCACUCGCAGGUGG